UACGUAGGUGGCGAGCGUUGUCCGGAUUUACUGGGCGUAAAGAGCCCGCAGGCGGCCUGGCAAGUUCUGGGUGAAAUCUCCCGGCUCAACUGGGAGGGUGCCUAGAAAACUAUCAGGCUUGAGGCAUGGAGAGGGAUGCGGAAUUCCUGGUGUAGCGGUGAAAUGCGCAGAUAUCAGGAGGAACACCGGUGGCGAAGGCGGGUCUCUGGGCCGUAACUGACGCUGAGGAGCGAAAGCGUGGGGAGCGAACAGG
Molecule: ribosomal RNA, 253 nt
Filed under: uncultured bacterium
Lineage: Bacteria
Description: partial 16S ribosomal RNA
Rfam family: Bacterial small subunit ribosomal RNA
Source: RNAcentral